This 88-nucleotide transfer RNA is filed under the name Pseudomonas fluorescens A506. RNAcentral's name for it is "tRNA-Leu". It matches the Rfam family "tRNA". Rfam says of the family: Transfer RNA (tRNA) molecules are approximately 80 nucleotides in length. RNAcentral also lists the same sequence under 2 other names. The record is from RNAcentral. Lineage: Bacteria; Pseudomonadati; Pseudomonadota; Gammaproteobacteria; Pseudomonadales; Pseudomonadaceae.
UGCCGAGGUGGUGGAAUUGGUAGACACGCAACCUUGAGGUGGUUGUGCCCAUAGGGUGUAGGGGUUCGAGUCCCCUUCUCGGUACCAA